This 634-nucleotide ribosomal RNA is filed under the name uncultured bacterium. RNAcentral describes it as "bacterial SSU rRNA". It matches the Rfam family "Bacterial small subunit ribosomal RNA", at positions 205 to 842 of the family's 1533-position model. The record is from RNAcentral.
AGGUAUUCCGGUAGACGAUGGGGAUGCGUUCCAUUAGAUAGUAGGCGGGGUAACGGCCCACCUAGUCUUCGAUGGAUAGGGGUUCUGAGAGGAAGGUCCCCCACAUUGGAACUGAGACACGGUCCAAACUCCUACGGGAGGCAGCAGUGAGGAAUAUUGGUCAAUGGGCGAGAGCCUGAACCAGCCAAGUAGCGUGAAGGAUGACUGCCCUAUGGGUUGUAAACUUCUUUUAUAAAGGAAUAAAGUCGGGUAUGGAUACCCGUUUGCAUGUACUUUAUGAAUAAGGAUCGGCUAACUCCGUGCCAGCAGCCGCGGUAAUACGGAGGAUCCGAGCGUUAUCCGGAUUUAUUGGGUUUAAAGGGAGCGUAGAUGGAUGUUUAAGUCAGUUGUGAAAGUUUGCGGCUCAACCGUAAAAUUGCAGUUGAUACUGGAUAUCUUGAGUGCAGUUGAGGCAGGCGGAAUUCGUGGUGUAGCGGUGAAAUGCUUAGAUAUCACGAAGAACUCCGAUUGCGAAGGCAGCCUGCUAAGCUGCAACUGACAUUGAGGCUCGAAAGUGUGGGUAUCAAACAGGAUUAGAUACCCUGGUAGUCCACACGGUAAACGAUGAAUACUCGCUGUUUGCGAUAUACGGCAA